Non-coding RNA from Coffea arabica (coffee), 9144 nucleotides. The record is from RefSeq and is a predicted model, not a curated record. NCBI's taxonomy places the organism in Eukaryota, Viridiplantae, Streptophyta, Magnoliopsida, Gentianales, Rubiaceae.
GCGUUUCGUCGUGUGGUAAGAAAUCAUCUGCUUUAUCUUCAUCGUGGGUUUUCUUUAGAUUCUUUGGUUAGGCUUUCCCUAAAUGAGAUUUAAUUGUUGUGGUUUUUUGUCUCAGCUGAAGGUUAGGAUCUUCAGUUGAUGAUGAUCGCUGGGUUCGAUCGUUGCUUCUGUGGCUGUGAUGAUUUGAUUAAUUUGAAGCUUAUUAUCGUUAAUUUUUUUGAUGGUGACUUGUGAGAGUUAAUCAUGGUUUUUUUUUUUGGCGGUAUUUCGAAGGAUUGAACGGGAAGGAUACCAGUUUUUGCACUAGAUUCGGUUUGUUUAUGUGGUAAUAUCUGCAUCAUGCCAAUUAUCGGACAAAUUUGACAUCAAAUUUCCUUCAAAAUUAGCCCUGUUUUGGUUAAAAAAUAGCCCCAUUUUGGUUCUUCUUUCUGUUUUUUCUUGCUGUGCUUCUUGUAGAAUGAUGGAUUUCGGGUGGAUGGAGUGGGAAGGAACUCUCUGUUGGAUGGAUGUGAGUGUAAUCUGAAUCUGGAGUUUUUAUUUAAUCCAUAUCUGUGGCUGUUGUUGUUGUUGCGAUUGCUGUAAGCGGUGCUCUGGACUUUCGGUAGUUUCGGUAGGAGGAUUGAUGAGGAAGAUUGAGUUUUUACUAUUGUUGAGUUUGUUAAUUAGUAAUUUCUGGAUCGUUUUUUGUUAUCAAGAUUCGUCUUUUCUUUCUCUGGUUCUUUUGAUGUUCUCGUGGUGGUGUGGCAGAAUCGUAGUUUUCGGUGGGGCUAAAAAAGACUUUCUGGAUGCGCAUAUUAUACUACGACACCGGGAGUUCUUCCCUCGUCCCUUAUUUUGGUUUCCUUUUUUAUUUCCUGAAAAAAGUAACUGGGGAGUCAACUAGUAACUGGCCUUGUCUGUUGUAUUGAUUUAGGGGAGCUUGGAUGCAUGAGGGUCUGGUCAUGUUACCCUGCUAUACUGGUUUGCAAGAUUCCUGAGAAGUUUUCUCUGUCCUUAAUUGUUUUCAGCUGUUUGACUGGGAGUUUUCUGGCUAUAGAUACUGAUUUGCUCUGUGAGACAGCUGUGUUCAUUUUCUGAUCUCCUGCAUUACUUUGUGUUGUGCAAUAUAGGGUUUCAGUGAUUCGGAGUUGUUGUGACAACUGAGCCUUCCUUCCUUGGAUGGUAAACUGUUUUGGAGGGAGUUAUCUUCUUACAAACAAUCUUGUGCUUUUGUCACCUUUUGAUAUCUGCAGACCUUUUUUGCCCAGGACAAACACCAUUGAAAUAGCUUUCAAGCUCUUCAUUCAAUUUGCCUGCACCUAUUUUGCUGCUUCUCCGUCAGAGUUAUCUUUGCCCAUUUGUUCUUUUUAGGCUUUUGAAUUUAUUUUGGUUCCAUGCCUUCUAUAUCUUUGGGAAUGGUUCUCAGAUGCUUAGGAUCAUAUCAAUAGGGCAAGAUUGAUGUAAGUAUUUCUUAGCUUUUAAAUUCUGGUUCUUUUGAUGUGAUCUUAGAAUGAUGGAGUUCUGUGUAUGAAAGUAAAAAGAGCUUUUCCUGGAUGGAUGGAAGCAAAAAGAGCUCUUCUUGGAUGGAUGAAGGGAAGUUUGGAUCGGAGCAUUCUCAUCAUGUUGUUACCUUGCUAUUCGGGCUUAACAAGAUUUUGGAGGACCUCUCUUUCCCUGCUUGUUUUCUGCUGUUUUGUUGAAGUUGAUUAGGACAUUUGUGUAUUUGCUCUGCUUGUUCUCUAAUUUUCUAUAUUACUAGGGCGUUGCAACUCAUUGUUCCAGUGAAGUGAUUCGUGAUUCAAACUUGUCUUUCCAUCCUCAGAACAAGGGCUUGUAAAAUUUUUUGGAGGGAGUUAUUUUCUGACCGAUGCUAAUUGUUCUUUUGUGCUUGAGGAAUUUAGGAGUUUUGACACCUUAUUUAUAAUAUAAUUUGUCUGUGCAUCUUUUUGGUCUGCAGCAUGUCAUGCAGAGUCAACUUUCCUGAUCCACUAUGAAUGAAUAGAACGGGUUGUAACCAAGUGCAUAUCUUUGCUAUUCAACAGUUUAUUUCGGGAAAAACUGUCUAUGAAUGCUUUCAACCUACCCAUUCCAUUCACCUAAGGUUAGCAUUUUUUUGGCUUUUGGAUUUGAUGGACUAGCUUAAUCCAGGCUUUUCUUUGGGGAUGGUUCUGUGCUACUCAGUAUAUAACAGGAAGUAGAUUCCGUCAUCAAACAUUUUUGUAUCGGUGGGGGGUUCCUGGUAUCUUGCUUAGUCAGCUUGAUCUGAAGAAGAGUUAAGGCUAUGCAUAUUGGUUUGAUCGAAUGGUAAAUUGUCGACAGUUUUUAUUUGAGGAUAAUUCUCAUCUUUGUGCCAAGUCUUCUGAUCCAUUCCUUUACUGAGGGUGGUGACUGGGCCUGGGCUUUUGGAUGCCAUUCUUCUUAGAAUUAUGGGAUGCGAUUCUUCUUGGAAUUAUGUAAUGGAUGUGAAUGUGAUCCUUAAUUUUGCUUUCUGCUUUAUUUUUGCAUUGCCCCUAGAUUUGAUUGAACAAGGACUUGACGCUAAUUACUAUGUUUUGUUCUUGGUGAUUUUUCAAGAUUUGUCUUUUCUUCUUCUGGUUUUUCUGAUGUUGUCUUUCAAGAAUAGUGGAUUUCUGGUGUGUGGAGGCUAGAAGAGCUCUUUCUUGGAUGGAUGUGAAUAAAAUCGGGAGAUUUUCUUUUCAACAUGGUCUUUCUUUGUUCUCUUUGUCUGAAAAAAUCACUGGGGCGGUUGGUGAUGGCUUCUGUCUGUUGUCUUGAUUUUAGGGAAGAUUGUUGCAGGAGUGUUGGUAUGUUUAACACCCUGCUAACCGGUUUUGGAUAAGCUCUCUCUUUCCCUACUCUAUUUUUUUUUGGCUGUUUCUUUAAAAAUGAUUUUCUCUACUUGUUCUCUAAUUUACUAUAUCAUUUUGUGUCGAAUCUAGGAUUUUGGUGAUUCAGAGGUGGCCAAAACUUAGAUCUCUGUCCUCAGAUCAAAGGCCAGUACAUUAUUAUAGAGUGGUUUAUCUUCUUACCUAUGCGUAUCAUUCCUCUUUUUUUUGCUUGAGCAUUUUACAGGUUUUAGUACUUUUUGAUGUCUGCAGACUAUUAUAAAUAUAAUCUAAUUUUUUUGUAAAUCUUUUCUUCCAUAGUCCAUUAUGUUUGUAGAAAUGCCUUGUGCAUUAUUUGUUUGGUCAGUAAUUGCUCGGAAGUCUUGUGUUCCUGAUCCUCGAGGAAAAGGUAUCACUGCUUAAUCCCAGCAAUUAAUGGUUGGACACCUUCCGACCUGCCCAUUGAAUUCACAUGCACCCAUUUUGCUGCUUAUCCCAUGCGUUUUCUAUCUCUGGCGAAUGGUUCUCAGGUGCUUAGGAUCUUACCAGUUUGGCGAUUUUGAUAUUCUGAAGUAUUUCUUAGUGCUCAAAUUCUGCCACUGAACAUGUUUUUUCAAGGUAGUUUCUGGUGUUUUGGUGGUUCAUCAUGAUCUCAAGUUUAUGCUUGUUAUAUGAAUGGUGGUGGUGUUAUGGUAGGUGAUCUAAAUUUGUAGGAAGUUGGUACUAUUGGUUCAUUCCAUUGUCAGUCCUCAUCUUUGUGUCAAAUUUCAAAUUUUUGUUGGUUAUUUGUGUUGCUUGCCGAACUCAUAGUCAAAGGGAAGUCUCUGGGAUGUGUGUCUUUGUGAAUAAAUUGGAUGGGUCUGACCAUAGUGUAAAAUCUGGAGGUUUUAUUUGGACCUACAGGUGGUGGUUUUGUUGUUACUCUAGGUGGUGGUGCUAUAGGUGGUGGCUCUGGGCUUCUAGAAGUUUCUCUAUGGUGUUGAUUAGGAAUUGAUCAUGAAGGCCUACACUUUCUUGCAGUUUUGCACUAUGUUGAGUACUUCGUGAAUGGUACUUUUUUUUGUUUUUUGUUUUCAAGAUUGUCUCUUCUUUUCUGGUUCUUUUGGUGUGGUUGUCUUAGAAUGGUGGUGGAGUUCUGCAUGGGCAAAAAGAGCUCUCUUCUCUUGGAUAGAUGGAUGGAUGUGGUAAAUCAGGAGUUCUCUUGUUUGUGCUGUUUGCCUAAAAUUCACUGGUCGUUGUUGGUAACGGCUUCUCUCUGUUGUCUUCAUUUUAGGUUAGCUUGAUCUCUGGAUGGUAGAUUUGUUGCCUGUUUUCUAAUUUCAGUGAAGUUGGUUCAACUUACCUCUCCAUUUUCGGAUCGAGGGCUAGUAAACUUUUUUGGAGGGAGUUAUUUUCUUGCCUAUACUAAUUUAUCUUUUGUGCACGAGGAAUUUAGGGGUUUUGACACUUUAUUUAUAAUUUUUCUGUUAAUCUUUACUUAUUCUGUCUCCAUUAUUUGGUCUGGCAGUAAUUCCUGCAGAGUUGACUCUCCUGAUUCAUGAGAAAUAGAUGGAGGUAUAACCAAGUGUGUGUGUGCGCUUAUUGUCAACUUGUUUAUUUCUAAACCAUCUAUGAAUUGCCUUCUGUCCAUUCAAUUCACCUGAGUUAUUGUACCCAAUUGUUCUUUUCUUGGCUUUCGUAUUUUGAUGGAUUGGCUUAGUCCAGGACUUUUCUUUGGGGAUGGCUCUGCGGUACUUGGUAUCUAAUGGGAAUUAAAUUCUGUCAUCUAACAUGUCUGUAUAGGUAGGGCUUUUUGGUGUUGCUGAUUCAUCAUGGUUUGAAGAAGAAUGAAUGCUACAUUUUUUAGUUCUGAUAAUAUGGUAGAUGAUCUACAAUUUUUAUUUCAUCUUUGUGCCAAGUUCAAGUCUUUGUUUGGCUAUUCAUGUUUUCACUCGCAGAAUUCUGCUGAGGGUGGUGACUGACUAUGGGCUUUUGGAUGUGUUGUUUUUAAGUGUAAUCUGUAAUCUGAAGUUUUGCUUUCUGUAUCAUUGUUGCAUUGCUAUAGGCAGUUGCAUUACUGUUUGUUUCGAUCUUUGUGAUGUUUUAUGAUUUCGUUUCUUCUCUGGUUCUUUUGAUGUCGUCUUUCAAUAAUAGUGGACCUCUGGUGUGCGGAGUGUACAAGAGCUUUCUUUUGGAUGGAUUUGAAUUAAAUCAGGAGUUUUUCUUGCCAACGUGGUCUUUGUUUGUUCUCUUUCCUGGAAAAUUCACUGGGGGUACUUGGUGAUGGUUUCUAUCUGUUGUAUUGAUUUUAGGGAAGCUUGAACCGGGAGUAUUGGCCAUGUUUGGUAUCCUGCUAUUUGGUUUUGGGAUGAGAUCUUGGAUGAGCUUCUCUUUUUCCCUACUUUUUUUUCUAUUUUUUGUUCAUUUUCUUGAAAAAUAAUUUUCUUUCUGUGUGCUUUAAUUUACUAUAUCAUUUUGUGUUGAGGCUAGGCUUCCAGUGACUGGAAGGUGUGGCGAAGACUUAAGGUCUCUAUUGUCAGAUCAAAGGCUACUAUAUUGUUUUGCAGGGGGGUUUUCUUACCUACUCUUACCAUUCCUUUCUGCUUGAUGUCACGGGCUUUGGUACUUCUGAUGUCUAUAAUUUAAAUUUAAUUUAAAAUUUUCAUGAUCCCUUUCUUCCAUAGUCCACUGUGUUUAUGGAAAUACCUUAUGCAUCAAUCAUUCUGGCAGCAAUCACUUUUUUUUUUUUUUGUCAAACUUCAGCUGUAUUAUAUAAUGGCAGCAAUCACUUGGAAGUCCAUGUUCCGAUCCUCAUUUAAGAGAGCAGCGAUUUGCGUAUCACUGCUUAAUCCCAACUGUUAAUUGUGCGGCGACCUGCCCAUUUAAUUCACUUGCACCUAUUUUGCUUCUCCAUUAAUUUGCGAUUAGCUUAAUCCCAGGCACUUUCUUUGGGGAUUGUUUCUUGUAAACUAAUUCUGCCAUUGAACAUGUAUGUAUAGCCGGUUCCUGGUGUUUUGAUGAUUCAUCAUGAUCGGAAAAGUAUUAACAUUAUGCUUGGUAUAUUAAUUAGUUUUGAUGGUAUGUAUAUAAUCUAAAUUUCUGGAUGGUUGGGACUAAUGGACAACUCUGAUAUUGGUUUUCAUCUUGGUGUCGAAUUUUAAGUUGGGUUCUGAUGUCCUGGUACUUCCUUGCAGAAAUCUAGUCCUAGCAAGAGGAUUGUGAAGAAAUAGAGGUCUUCUCUUGGAUGAUGAUAUUCAGAUAUCCAUGAUACUGUGGUUUGAAUCAUGGAAUCUCUCUUCAUGCCAUCCUGUUAUUGUGUUUGUCGAAAACAUCACAUGCCACUGGUACUGGUAUUGUUCAGUCAUGUAAGAACAGAUGCAUACAAUAUCUGUCUUCGUAGUCAUCAACCUACAUGCCCCUGGUACUGGUAUUGUUUGUGAAUUUCAUUUCAUACUUGAAUUUUGGGAUCCCCUGGUACAUAGGUUUAGUAUGCAAUUUUAAAGUGCAUGUAACUGAUUUUUUUUUUUUUUUAAGGAAGUUAUUGGACAAUAUUUGCUUAUGACCUUAACAGCCAUGGUGUGGCAUCAAGGUCCAAUCUAAGAUCUGCAAUAGUUGUAUAUGCAUUGCUGAUUUGGGAGGUGGUUAGAACCAUUUGUAAAUGAUUGACAAAAUGAGAGGAAUCCAAAUGCCUUUUUUUCAACUAUUGAAAAUCAUUAAUUUGUUUGAAGUGCGUACAACUUUGAGGUUGAUUUCGUUGGAUUCUUGAAAUGGAGGAGUUCCAGGGCAACUUGUCAUUUGUUGUGGAUGAUUUACCUGUGCAAGCUUAAGCCCCUUGAAUGUUAUAGAAAAUUAACUGUCGCAUAGUAUUUGUUUCACACACUAGUUGAUCUCCUAUUUGGAUGUUCAUAACUGAUGGUGAUAACAUAGUUGAUUUAUAGGUAAAGUCCUGCAGUUAUCUUUAAGGGUGAGAUUUGGUAUGAAAACAAGUGAAGAAGUGUGGGGUAAUCGUGGUAUAUGUUUGUCGAGUCACUUGAUUUGUGAUACUAGUGGUAAAUUUAAGGUUGUCUAAUGGGAUUCAAGGCCCUCCUCCGUAUGGACACACACACACACACAACCCCCCCCCUCUCUUUCCAAAAAAUAAAACCCAAUAAAAAAAGCAUAUUAUCAAGGAAAGGUGAGAUUUGGUAUGAAAACAAGAUAGUGUGUGGUGAUCGAGGUAUAUGGUUGGUGAAUCGCUUGAUUUGUGAUAUUAGUGGUAAAUAUGUCUAAUGGGAUUCAAGGUGCUCUUCCGUUUGGACACACACACACACCCCACCACCACCAACAACCCCCCCCCCCCCCGCCCCCCCAAAAAAAAAAAAGAAUGCAUAUUGCUAAGGAAAGGUGUGCUAUUCAUACAGCUCUCUGGGAUAGAUUGCUGCAGAUGACGAAUGAUUAUUGAUGCAUAAGUUGUUUUGCUAUUUGUGUUAAAACUGAUUAAUUGAGAUUGCUGGGAGACGUUUGUAGCUUGCCUAUUGGUGGGGAUAGCUAAGUGAUUCCCUCGGCCUGUUGGUCUUCUUGACUGCGCUGCAUAAGAGUUGGAAUUUUUUUUUGUUUUGUUGGAGAUGCAUCUGUGGCAGCACUUUCUUGUCUGUGGUUCUUGAUUGUGGCUUGCUUGUAUGCUUGUUUUGUUUUGGUUGGUAGGAUGUUUGUAAUUCUGCCUGUCACAUCAGACAGCCGGCCCCAAGCCUGUCAAAAAGAGGAGGGAAAGCCUGAUCUUGUGUGAGAUAGUUAUUGGUCAUUACUAAAUAUGGUUCUUCCAAGUCUUCCUAAUGGAUCACAAUGUCUUGCUAUUUUGUGAUCUGGGAAAUACUUGCUGAUGUUCUUUCCUGUAAGGAUGUAUUUUUCUCCUCUUUUCAUUUGGUGGAUUUGUGGAUGGCUGGGGCUCCAUUCCUCCUCUUUUCAAUGGCUUUGUUUUAUUGGUCCGUUAUCUCGCUAGAUUGGUUAUUUUUGAAAGGCUUAGGUGAGGCAAGAACUUGAAGCAAUGGCUUGUGUUGUUUUAUUUGGGGAAGUGAAAACCAUUUUUAACUCCAAAUCCUGUAUGGUGACAUAUAGUUUAGUUUCUAAUGCAAAUUACUGUUUGUUUUUAGUCGAAACAAUUUCUUCUUGGAUGGUUCUUGAAGAUCUAUAUGGAUGCGAAUGCCUUUUUAAACAUCUUAUCUUCCAUUUCAUGCUUUUAUCUGAUCGUGUAAAGAUGUUGGAUUCUGUCUAAAUUCUAUAGAACGACCCCAAACGAAAGUCUAAAUUCUACAGAGCGACCCCAAAAGAAAGUGGACGAAUGUUGUACGAAUUGCUGAUGUUGUACUAAUCCCCAACCAGAGAAAUAUUUGGUGUAAACUAUUUGGGGAGUUUUUAAAUUAUUUUAGUUAUUUACUUGUAGUCCAUGAUAUUUUAUAUAUUGAAUCGGCUCGUCACAAUUGAGAGCGUCAAAUUUAACGUUUGAAAUGGAUCAAUGGAGUAAAAAUUGGAUCCACUUGAUUUUGAGGAAUCAAAUUCAAAUUUGAAAUAUAUUAUUGAUCAAAAUUUGACGUGGGGCACAAAGGUGCAUGUAAUGUCCAACUAUUGUUGGGAGGUGAGAAAAAUUUAUGCACCACCACUUGAAAAUUGAAAUUUGUCAUCAAGAUUUGUUGUGCUCUAUUUUUUAUUGGUUAGAAUGAGUCUCGGUGGUUACAGAACGAAAUAAAACAAAGGAAAAGAUUGGCCGACAGUCUUUUUCUUGGUUUCAUGACAUCAUAAUGGUUGUAGGCACUUUUUUUUUUUUAGAUCCGAAAUGAAACUCAUUGCGUUAUAAGUUACAAUGUUCUAGUUUCGCGCGCCAGUACAUGAGCUUUCGUUCCUAGUGUUCUCUCAACCUUAACAGUCUGGACUGCAAAAACUUUCGUUACUAGUGUUCUCUCAAUCUUAACAGUCUGGACUGCAAAAAAGAACUGGCCAGUACAUAAAAUGUCUUCGAUUAUUGAGCGAACCUGUGGCGGACAAUUGUCUGGUUUAGCUAGAGCGUGAAGUAGCAAGAGAAUCACUUCUAACAAGAACAGAUUGCCAGGAAACGGUGCACAGGUUCCUGAGAGCCGACAAACAUGGUAGAGCCUCAGUCUGCAAAGCUGUCAAUGCAUGAACUUGAGUGGAGUGCUGAAAAAUCACAUUGCCAGUUCUAUCUUCAACCACCCAUGCUAUGGCUGCCUUAUGUAUCUGAGUCGUUGCUUUAAAUGAGCCGUCAAUGGUUAGUACCAGCUGACAGUUGUGAUGAUUUGUCUGUAGUCCAUCAAAAAAUAGCUCUAGAUUCCUUAUAUUGACUGGCUUCUUGCAAGCGUUAAAGUUUGAA